ACGGAAACAAACAACGGAAACAAACAACGGAAACAAACAACGGAAACAAACAACGGAAACAAACAACGGAAACAACCUCCACAGAGACAGAAACAUAAGGCAGAAAAUUAGGUGACAGGUCAAGACCAACAACGGAAACAACGGAAAGAACAGAAAGAACCUCCACAGAGACAGAAACAUAGGGCAGAAAAUUAGGUGACAGUUCAAGAACAACAACAGAAAGAACGGAAAGAACGGAAAGAACGAAAAGAACCUCCACAGAGACAGAAACAUAGGGCAGAAAAUUAGGUGACAGUUCAAAAACAACAAUGGAAAGAACGGAAAGAACGGAAAGAACGGAAUGAACGGAAUGAACCUCCACAGAGACAGAAACAUAGGGCAGAAAAUUAGGUGACAGUUCCAAAACAACAACGGAAUGAACGGAAAGAACGGAAACAACGGAAAGAACCUCCACAGAGACAGAAACAUAGGGCAGAAAAUUAGGUGACAGUUCAAAACAACAAAAAGAACGGAAAGAACGGAAAGAACGAAAGAACGGAAAGAACCUCCACAGAGACAGAAACAUAGGGCAGAAAAUUAGGUGACAGUUCAAGACCAACAACAGAAAGAACGGAAAGAACGGAAAGGACCUCCACAGAGACAGAAACAUAGGGCAGAAAAUUAGGUGACAGUUCAAAAACAACAACAGAAAGAACGGAAAGAACGGACAGAACGGAAAGAACAUCCACAGAGACAGAAACAUAGGGCAGAAAAUUAGGUGACAGUUCAAAAACAACAACAGAAAGAACGGAAAGAACGGAAAGUACCUCCACAGAGACAGAAACAUAGAGCAGAAAAUUAGGUGACAGUUCAAAUACAACAACAGAAAGAACGGAAAGAACGGAAAGAACCUCCACAAAGAAAGAAACAUAGGGCAGAAAAUUAGGCGGCAGUUCAAAAAGAACAACGGAAAGAACGGAAAGAACGGAAAGAACGGAAAGAACGGAAAGAACGGAAAGAACGGAAAGAACGGAAAGAACGGAAAGAACGGAAAGAACGGAAAGAACGGAAAGAACGGAAAGAACCUCCACAGAGACAGAAACAUAGAGCAGAAAAUUAGGUGACAGUUCAAAAACAACAACGGAAAGAACGGAAAGAACGGAAAGAACGGAAAGAACGGAAAGAACGGAAAGAACGGAAAGAACGGAAAGAACGG
RNAcentral lists this long non-coding RNA (1195 nucleotides) under Gallus gallus (chicken). RNAcentral describes it as "lncRNA (ENSGALG00010007080.1)". The record is from RNAcentral. Lineage: Eukaryota; Metazoa; Chordata; Aves; Galliformes; Phasianidae.